CCAUAUAGAACUUUGCAUUGAAUCACGAAACAUAGAACAGAAGAACAAGAGAUCAAAUGAAGAAAAGUAGGGAAAAAAUAAAUUUGAGAUGUCUUUUAAACUAGUAAUGAAAUUAAGAUUUGUAAUGAAAGAUUGAGGUGAGAAUGGGAUUUAAAGCCCUAGUCUCUAGUCUCUAGUCUCUAUCGUCAUUCUUCUGCACCCACAACUGGUAGAGGAAUGUUUAAUGUGGUCGAAGAUCGGAUAGGCUACGCACGUAAAGGGAGGCCGACUGCACGGGAAAUGCAUGCAUGCAGGUGGCAUCAAGAAAGCCCCCACUAACCUCCAUGCAUAUCUCACGUGAUGCCAGGAUGCAUGACUAGACAAGCGUGUGCCUGUUGGCGAGGUGCAUGAAAACACACCGGGUUGAUACUACUCAGAGAAGACACACGCUACGUUGGUCAAAAUUGAAUGUAAUUUUAAAAUACUAGUAAAGAAAACACAUGUUUAGAAACAAUUUUUUUUUUAGUUUUCAAUUCUUUAAGCUGUUUUUAAAAUUAGGGGUAAAAAGAUUGGGAAGUAAAAAUUGUGAAGGGUAAAGACAACAAUUUUUGAUAAAAACAUGUUUUUGAAAAGGAAAAGCAUACCAUCCGUAAAACCAAUCCCAUCUCUUUCAAUUUUUUAGUUAUGUGUAGCGUGCCCUUCAACCUCAAUGCCACAAAACACAUUGGCACCUGAAAAAACAAACAAAAAAAAUGGGACUAAUUAUGAAAUGAGCAGCGGAUUAAGAGGGUAAUGAGAAACAAAUGUGGCACCAAAUAUUAAAGUCACUUGCCCAACGGACUUCUUGACAGAAUAUGAAAGGAUUUGGAAUUGGAUGCUAUUCGGAUACACAGAGACCCAUUUGGAGGUUGAACCAAUUCGGCAAUGGAAUGUCUUUCCGCCCAAUGAGACUGCAAGGGACAAAUUUGGAAUAGUGAAUAUUUAUUGGUUUUGAAAAAUAAUAAUUUCCCUUUUUCCUUCUCUGUUUCUUAUCUUUCCGCUGGGGGUUUGCUCCGAUAGUUCAAGCAGAAUGACAUACCCAUCUCACCUUCAGAAUAAAAUUCCCCAUUGAUUCCAUAAUGAAUUUAUGACAGUUAGCGCUUCGUUUCCCGUGGAAAUCAAUUCUGCAACGAUGGUUUUCUCACCUCUAUCUUCCUCCAUAAACCCAGUAACCUCUUUCUCUUUCUUCCCUCCAUGUGCUAUGCAUUUAGCACAAUUUUUUUAAGC
RNAcentral lists this long non-coding RNA (1245 nucleotides) under Cucumis sativus (cucumber). Its description in RNAcentral is "long non-coding RNA (CSAT_LNC000783)". Lineage: Eukaryota; Viridiplantae; Streptophyta; Magnoliopsida; Cucurbitales; Cucurbitaceae. The record is from RNAcentral.